Sebastes umbrosus (honeycomb rockfish) is the source of this 2946-nucleotide long non-coding RNA. RefSeq lists it as uncharacterized. Lineage: Eukaryota; Metazoa; Chordata; Actinopteri; Perciformes; Sebastidae. The transcript is spliced from 2 exons. The record is from RefSeq and is a predicted model, not a curated record.
AAAGAUUUAUACGCCCUCAAUUUAUCUUUACAGCGCUGCCGUUGGUCACCGGCCCGCUUGUCGGACGGCUGGCUACUUAGCGAGGAAAUGAGUCCAACAGAGGACAGCGCUGAGUCACGGUCCCUCUGCCUCACUCCUCGCCGCUAGGAGACGACUUCACCGGGAGGAGAGCAGGCGUUAGCUAGCUAGUCAGGCUCCGGACAAGCUAGCUAGCUAACUAGUCAAUUCUGUAGACAGACUAGCUAGCUAGCGUUUGCCAGCCGUGUCCUCCUCCUGCAGUAGUCUCCAGCGGCGUAGGGGUCGGCUAAUCUGGUCCUGUUGGUUCAUGUUAAACUUAACGCUCCGCCCACUAAAAUCCGUCACCAUGGUUACUAACAGAGAAGGAGUCUGAUUGGUUAAUACAACUUCAUAUUGGGAGGCUUGUUCAGAACAUAAAAGAAAACAAAGCCACGCAGACGUAUCCAAACACCCGUUAGCAUGUUCCAGCCCCUGAACCUACAGUACCAGUACAGGUAGCGGUACCGGUGUGAACUGAACGGGUUUCAGGUAUUUGAGGCCAGGCAGGUGCUGUCCACGUCUCCGACUGCUCCAGGUGCUCCAUGUCGUUUUCUUUUGACCAGUUCAACCAGUCCGUCUGGAGAUCCGGAGUUAACAGAACCAGUGUUGAUUCAAGCAGACGAUUAUCCAGAACUAUACGACGAAGGUCGACCCUGGUCCGUUCUGACAGAUGUUCAGGGUUCUUAAACCGAUCCGACACCUGGGACCCCUGAACCUCAACGUUUCACCGUCACUGAGUUCAGUACUUAAGAUCCGUGGCGCUACCGGUGGUGAACCUGGCGCUCUGUUUUUGGUGUUUUAACGCUCCACUCUGAACCUUCAACAAUCACCGUUAACAUCAACAGAACUUCAGAACCUUCAGCAAGAACGUUUCCUUGUUUUUGUCCGUUUCAGCCGACCAGACGACGCUUUGACUCUUUUUUCUGUUUACGUCACCAAACCUGCCAAAACGAAGCUCAGACCUGAUUAUCUUGUAUUAUUUUGUGUUUGUUUGUCGGUUAGUUUGGUUAGUUGACACGGUAAACACGGUCAUGUUCUUUCUUCUUCUUCUUGCCUUAAGGUGCGGUCACAUUCGCUCUACGUUCAACAGAACCUGCCCGCCACUCAGACCCGCGGCGGCGGUCUGGUAACAAUAAUGGCGUCCACAUUUCAAACCUAAAACAGGAAAUUCCUGGUUGAAUCAGUCUUUUAUUGAAGUGAUUGAGAGGCGGAGCUAGUGUCGGUAGGACAGAGGCGGAGCUAGUGUCGAUAGGACGGAGGCGGAGCUAGUGUCGGUAGGACAGAGGCGGAGCUAGUGUCGAUAGGACAGAGGCGGAGCUAGUGUCGGUAGGACAGAGGCGGAGCUAGUGUCGGUAGGACGGAGGCGGAGCUAGUGUCGGUAGGACAGAGGCGGAGCUAGUGUCGGUAGGACGGAGGCGUCAUGUGACCGCACCUUUACUCGAAGCCAGCAACAGCUUUCUGCUCGUCAACGGUUUCACCUCAAACAACGUUUAUUUGAACCGGCUCUCUGAUGAUGACGACAGAUGUGGUUAAACAUCAACCCGAUAAACAUUUCAACAUGAUUACCAUUCGCUAAGCCCCGCCCCCCCCCUUAGUUACUGUUGCUAACCAGACCACAGCACGCGUUCAUUUUACCACAACAGAAGAACAGUAUUUAAAUGGGUCCUUUUAUUUCUAACCGCCGUCGGUUUGAAAACGGUCUCUUUAUUGACUUAUCAACUAGCUAGCUAGCGAGCUAAUUAAGCUAACGUUAGCUCUACAAGGUCUCCGACUGACUUUUUAAUGUUUCAAGCUGACUUGUUUUAAAACAACAACCCAGUAAAGAGGUCUUAAAUGUGAACUUGAUAUCAUGCUGACAGACUGAUGCCGAAGCUAACAGAUCAUGCUAACGGACUAAGGCUAAAGCUAACAGGUCAUGCUAACGGACUGAUGCUAAAGCUAAUAGGUGAUGAUAUCAUGCUAACAGACUAAGGCUAAAGCUAACAGGUCAUGCUAACGGACUGAUGCUAAAGCUAAUAGGUGAUGAUAUCAUGCUAACAGACUAAGGCUAAAGCUAACAGGUCAUGCUAACGGACUGAUGCUAAAGCUAACAGGUCAUGCUAACGGACUGAUGCUAAAGCUAAUAGGUGAUGAUAUCAUGCUAACAGUCUGAGGCCAAAGCUAACAGGUCAUGCUAACAGACUGAGGCUAAAGCUAACAGGUCAUGAUAUCGUGCUAACAUACUGAUGCUAAAGCUAACAGGUCAUGCUAUCAUGCUAACAGACUGAUGCUAAAGCUAACAGAUCAUGCUAUCGUGCUAACAGACUGAUGCUAAAGCUAACAGAUCAUGCUAUCGUGCUAACAGACUGAUGCUAAAGCUAACAGAUCAUGCUGUCGUGCUAACAGACUGAUGCUAAAGCUAACAGAUCAUGCUGUCGUGCUAACAGACUGAUGCUAAAGCUAACAGAUCAUGCUGUCGUGCUAACAGACUGAUGCUAAAGCUAACAGGUCAUGCUAUCAUGCUAACAGACUGAUGCUAAAGCUAACAGAUCAUGCUAUCGUGCUAACAGACUGAUGCUAAAGCUAACAGAUCAUGCUGUCGUGCUAACAGACUAAUGCUAAAGCUACCUGUGACUAGUUACUGUUGCUGAGAUAUGAUUGGACAAUCACCGUUUGGGGGCGGGGUUUAGAGAACGUCACUAUGGAAACUGAAACUAAACGGAUGUUUGAUCAGGAACUCUCGGAGCAGAAUGUUGUUGUGGUUCACUUUCAGGUUUCAGUUUCAGUUUCAGCUCAGCGGUCCAUAAACACCCCCCCCACCCCCCCACGGUUCUUUUAUUAUUUCCCUCCUUCUUGUUUUAUAAUUAAAUAAAAACACUGUAAAGGUGAAUAAACUAUUUAUAAACAGCU